GAUGAACGCUGGCGGCGUGCCUAAUACAUGCAAGUCGAGCGAACAGACGAGGAGCUUGCUCCUCUGACGUUAGCGGCGGACGGGUGAGUAACACGUGGAUAACCUACCUAUAAGACUGGGAUAACUUCGGGAAACCGGAGCUAAUACCGGAUAAUAUAUUGAACCGCAUGGUUCAAUAGUGAAAGACGGUUUUGCUGUCACUUAUAGAUGGAUCCGCGCCGCAUUAGCUAGUUGGUAAGGUAACGGCUUACCAAGGCAACGAUGCGUAGCCGACCUGAGAGGGUGAUCGGCCACACUGGAACUGAGACACGGGCCAGACUCCUACGGGAGGCAGCAGUAGGGAAUCUGCCGCAAUGGGCGAAAGCCUGACGGAGCAACGCCGCGUGAGUGAUGAAGGUCUUCGGAUCGUAAAACGCUGUUAUUAGGGAAGAACAAAUGUGUAAGUAACUAUGCACGUCUUGACGGUACCUAAUCAGAAAGCCACGGCUAACUACGU
This 496-nucleotide ribosomal RNA is filed under the name uncultured bacterium. Its description in RNAcentral is "partial 16S ribosomal RNA". It matches the Rfam family "Bacterial small subunit ribosomal RNA", at positions 28 to 506 of the family's 1533-position model. The record is from RNAcentral.